Molecule: ribosomal RNA, 257 nt
Filed under: uncultured bacterium
Lineage: Bacteria
Description: partial 16S ribosomal RNA
Rfam family: Bacterial small subunit ribosomal RNA
Source: RNAcentral
GUCCACGCCGUAAACGAUGGAUACUAGCUGUUCGGUAGCAAUACUGAGUGGCUAAGCGAAAGUGAUAAGUAUCCCACCUGGGGAGUACGUUCGCAAGAAUGAAACUCAAAGGAAUUGACGGGGGCCCGCACAAGCGGUGGAGCAUGUGGUUUAAUUCGAUGAUACGCGAGGAACCUUACCAAGGCUUAAAUGUAGUUUGACCGAUUUGGAAACAGAUCUUUCGCAAGACAAAUUACAAGGUGCUGCAUGGUUGUCGU